AGGCGCCGGAGGAUGCGAGAGCUGUAAACGAGGGGAUAAGCAUGUAUGAGCUUUCAGCUGAUGGUUUUCGGACGCGGGUUCAAUUCCCGCCGCCUCCACCA
Molecule: transfer-messenger RNA, 101 nt
Filed under: Nitrospirota bacterium
Lineage: Bacteria; Pseudomonadati; Nitrospirota
Description: partial transfer-messenger RNA
Rfam family: transfer-messenger RNA
About the family: Bacterial tmRNA, also known as 10Sa RNA or SsrA, is named for its dual tRNA and mRNA-like properties.
Source: RNAcentral